Molecule: ribosomal RNA, 458 nt
Filed under: uncultured bacterium
Lineage: Bacteria
Description: bacterial SSU rRNA
Rfam family: Bacterial small subunit ribosomal RNA
Source: RNAcentral
GAUACCCUGGUAGUCCACGCAGUAAGCGAUGAGAACUAAUUGUCCGGAGCGAGUGAGCUCUGGGUGAUACAGCGAACAGCGUUAAGUGCUCCACCUGGGGAGUACGCCGGCAACGGUGAAACUCAAAGGAAUUUGACGGGGCCGCACAAGCGGAGGACAUGUGGUUUAAUUCGAUGAUACGCGAGGAACCUUACCCGGGCUCAAACGGCACAGUGAUACUUUUUGAAGGAGGUAGCUCUACGGAGACUGUGCCGAGGUGCUGCAUGGUGUCGUCAGCUCGUGCCGUGAGGUGUCGGCUUAAGUGCCAUAACGAGCGCAACCCCUAUUGUCAGUUGCCAGCGGUAAAGCUGGGGACUCUGACGAGACUGCCGGCGCACGCUGAGAGGAAGGGCGGGAUGACGUCAAAUCAGCACGGCCCUUACGUCCGGGGCGACACACGUGUUACAAUGGCAGGCACA